This 424-nucleotide ribosomal RNA is filed under the name uncultured bacterium. RNAcentral describes it as "partial 16S ribosomal RNA". It matches the Rfam family "Bacterial small subunit ribosomal RNA", at positions 360 to 776 of the family's 1533-position model. The record is from RNAcentral.
AAUAUUGGACAAUGGGCGAAAGCCUGAUUCAGCCAUGCCGCGUGUGUGAAGAAGGUCUUCGGAUUGUAAAGCACUUUAUUUUGGGAGGAAGGGUUGUAGGUCAAUACUUUGCAGUUUUGACGUUACCAACAGAAUAAGCAGCGGCUAACUUCGUGCCAGCAGCCGCGGUAAUACGAAGGGCGCAAGCGUUAAUCGGAAUUACUGGGUGUAAAGCGCGCGUAGGUGGUUCGUUAAGUUGGAAGUGAAAGCCCCGGGCUUAACCUGGGAAUUGCUUUCAAAACUGACGAGCUAGAGUACGGUAGAGGGUAGUGGAAUUUCCUGUGUAGCGGUGAAAUGCGUAGAUAUAGGAAGGAACAUCAGUGGCGAAGGCGACUACCUGGACUGAUACUGACACUGAGGUGCGAAAGCGUGGGGAGCAAACAGG